UGAGCCUUGUGCAUUAUGUCUGAUGCCACCUUCUGUUUCUUUUUUUUUUUUUUAAAUUUUAUCUAUUAUUUAUGAUAGUCACACGGAGAGAGAGAGAGAGAGAGAGAGAGGCAGAGACACAGGCAGAGGGAGAAGCAGGCUCCAUGCACCGGGAGCCCGACGUGGGAUUCGAUCCGGGGUCUCCAGGAUCGCGCCCUGGGCCAAAGGCAGGCGCCAAACCGCUGCGCCACCCAGGGAUCCCCCACCUUCUGUUUCUUGAGAGAUACAACUCUAAUGUCUCCUUAUAAUAGCAGCGAUGAGGUGGGGCACCUACAUGGCCAUUCUGUGGACCAGGAAGAGCCAUCAUCACUACAUCUGCCACUAUCCACAUCCUUCACCUUGAAGGAUGCCUCAUCUUGAAAGAUUCACUGUAGCAUCUUUGGAUCCAGCAACAGAAUCUGUGACCUUCUUCACCCCAAGUGCCUCAAGUAAAUUUACUUCUGCUAGAAGCUUAGAUCCUGCCAUUCUUCUUAACUGUGCAGCUCACAUAUGCAAGCACAUGAGCAGAUGGCCCAUAUACCUACACAGGUUUCGGCCCAUCACCUCUUUCUUUCUCUUCUCUAAGUAUGGACUACCCAGUGCUUCAUCCAAGGUACUGGCUUUUCAUUUUCUACUUUUCCUUUUUAAAUCGUGUGUGUUUAUUCUUC
This 686-nucleotide long non-coding RNA is filed under the name Canis lupus familiaris (dog). RNAcentral's name for it is "lncRNA (ENSCAFG00845020353.1)". The record is from RNAcentral. Lineage: Eukaryota; Metazoa; Chordata; Mammalia; Carnivora; Canidae.